RNAcentral lists this long non-coding RNA (9044 nucleotides) under Homo sapiens (human). RNAcentral's name for it is "non-protein coding MIR4458HG:11". Lineage: Eukaryota; Metazoa; Chordata; Mammalia; Primates; Hominidae. The record is from RNAcentral.
ACUUUGGUCGUGGGCGCGUGUGUGGAAUGGGAGGAGGUCGCGCUGUCCAUGGGCGUCCUUGGCCUGCGCCACCCAGGUGAGCGCUCCGGAGGCUGCGAUCCCCGGGUCCCGACCGCCCGCCUAGCACUGGCCUGAUGGGGAAGCGUCCCGGGACUGGAAGGGCAGCCGGCUUGCGCGCGUGGUUCCCACGCCCCUCGGGCUCGGGGGAUCGCUCCGGGUGCUGGCUGCGGGCUCGGCGGGGAGGACCCCGGGAGCGCGUCCCUGGGCCCCACGUCGGCCUCUGCGCGGGCAAGCCCCUGGGCUCUUUGGCUCUAGACGCUUUCCAGGCCUGGGGAAACCGCAUGCGUGGACGUGGGAAACGGGGCGCGUGACGGGGAGGGGCGCGCCCCGGGGGCCUGUGGUCGUUCCGAGCUUCCACCUGGCCCGACGCAGGCAUGUGCCCUGCCCGCCGCGUCGUCCCUGGGCCUGCGGGGGCUGGGGCCUCAGCUGAGAGUCCUGGGAAGGUGGUGCUGGAUUGUGGCUCUGUCGCGGGGAUGAGGGGUUGAUCUGGGAAGCCCUCAGGAUGUGUGUGUGGCUCCUGGAAGGUGACGCACAUUGUUAGCUUCAGUAAGGUUUUCAACACCAUGUUUCCGCAGAACUUGGUCAUAAUAACUAUAUCGCCUUCUAAUAGUGCUUUUGGGGAGUUACUCAUUUUAACAGCUACUACGUGUUGAAUGUCCUCUUGUUUGCCAGGUGCAGUUCUCAUCCCUAGGGGUGGAGAGUUGAAGAAGAUAUAUUCAGUUAUUUUCUUUUUUAAUGCUUGAGCUAACAAUGAUUUUAUCCUUUGCUUUCUUAAAGGUUUAAUUUGCUCUUAGGUGGACAGAAAAGCAUAAACUGAAUUUUAACUACAAGUUGGUCACAGUUGAAAAGCCUCAUGUGUGGUUUGAGUUUUAGCUUAGAUCUCUCCUUACAUGUCUUUCCUGACAGCUCCUCAGAUUUAGACAGUGUGAGGAUCAAAACUGUAUGAAGGUGCUUUACUCUUGAUAAUCUGUGAACGUCAACUAGGAAAAUUUUGAGUGUAUUAGAAAUGUUUUUCGAACUCUUUGAGAGUCUAGGCAAUUUCACUUGGGUUCUGUGAUUAAUUUGCAAAGUAUUAGGAUGAAAUCAAGAAACCUGCAGUUUUAAUUGAAUUGACUUUGGUUUUGUUUCUCAAAAAGUGGGACAACAAAAAUACCUACUUAAGACUACUGUUUCAGGCACUGUCUAAUUGCAUUCAUCAGAUCUUAUUAUAUUCAUUCCAUGAGGAAUCGAAGACCUAUUCAGUCAAGCAGCAGCCCAAGGUUACACGUCUAAUAAAGGGCACAUUCCCAGAUCAAGCCCAUGUAGGCUGACUCUAGAUUCUGAUUUUGAACUGCUCUGUUUCUGAAUUGGAGUUUAACUCCUCUGUUACCCCUAGAUUAAUGGUGAGUAUUUUCUCUCACCCAAGUUAAUUCCAUUAACUCUAAUCAGAACCCUAAUUUAGCAUAUUUCCAGUACAGUAGUUGCGGAUCCAUCCUACUCUAGAGUUUUUGUGCUAUGUGUUAACUGUCUUUUAUAAAUGAAGGGACGGCUUCCUCUGUAACAUACGGGAGCAUUGUAUAAUCUUUGAACAGGCAAAAGCAUUCCAGAGAAAAGAUAGAUGAAUUUCAUAUAUUUUUAUUAAAACAAUUUUAUUAAAACAUAGAUAAAUACUGGAUUAUUUAAGCAAGUUGCAGUCUAUGUAGGUUAACCACUAAGCUAUGCUUCCUCUCUUUGCAUGCGUGUGUGUGUAUACGUGUGUUUUUCCUAAAGAUACAUCAAGGCUUAGUACUUUCACAAUGAGUUAAGUCCUGCGCUGUGCCUUGAAAGAUGAAGGGAGGGAGUUAGAGGCAAAGAUGAAUUAACAGGUUAACAGGAUCCGGGUCCAAGUCCUUAGAUGCCUAUUAAAGAGUUCAGGCUUCACUCUGCGGGAAGUAGGAAGAUUUUUGAAAGACUAAGUACUGGAAGGACAUGAUCAGGUUUGCAACUUAGAACUAUCACUGUGGCUGCAGACCUAAGAGUAGACGAGAAGGGUGGGUAGAAAGGUUAGGAAACUACAUUUUCCGAAGAAAAACAUGGAAAGAACUGAAAGGGUGAUCCUGGAGUCAGAGCCAGGUAGAGAGUUUAGGGAUUUAAGGAGGAUUUGGUAAGAGAUUUAUUGUGAAUCCUACAUCCUAAAAUUUUAAUGUUUUUUUUUCUUUUCUAGAGAUGAUAAAUAGCCAAAGACGUCAAUGGCACCCAUGGACAUAGUAAGCAUAGUAGGAGCUGAAAAACUAGAAGCAAUGACAAUGUCAACUAUUUUGAGCAAAAAGAAGCAGUGUCUUCGGAACAUUUGAUCAUAAAACCAGAAAUUAAAGGAUGAGAAAAACAUUUUUCUGAAGCUUAUACUUUCACAUUUCCUAGAGAGCAUAUUUGUGUGGAUGGGGGUGGGUAAACACUCAACAAAAGUUUCUUUAAAAAGAAGAAACCAUCCUGGUUUGAUGUAAUCAAUGGUUGCCCACUGCUCCCUUCCUGUGCCUGUGACCCUUCCCAAACUGCCCUGUUGCUUGCAGGCUCGCCUGAGCUGAAAGGCAGCCCUCACAUCCCGUCGGCACCUCCCUGGGGCCUUCUUUACACCCUGGAGAACUUCACAGGGAAUCUGUGUCUGUAACACAAAGGCUUCCUGGUCCAGAUGUAGAUACUAAGGCUGACUGGUUAUUUAAGUCCUGCGGACUUACUCUGCCAAAAUUAUUUAAUCAUGUAAAAAUAAUUUAUAAUUCUUAUAAAGUAUCCCCUUCAUAAUAUAAUGAAUGUUGGUGCUAUUACAUUUAAGUGCACAUGUACAGUAUACAAGAUUAUUAAUAAUAAUGUUUUCAAAUAGUUAUUGUCAAAGCUAUUUUUCUUAUGUUUAUGAAAGUGCUUAUAAAAUUCAUGUUUUAUGAGGCUGGAGAUGUAUAUUUUGUAAUUUCAUUCUGAUAUUUGUUAAUAUUCGCUUCCAAUGCUGGUUUUGUUUGAUGAGACUGACAUUGCCUAAUUUCAAGCUUUUUGAAUGUGUAUUCUUUCAGGGCAAGUAUGAAAUAACUAGUAAAAAAUAUACAAAUAUGCUUAACAAUAAGUAGACUUUCUCACAUUGAUUACUUACAACAGCUUUAUGUGGGGUGAAUCAGAUGCCUGUAUUACAGAAGCAUCUAAUGCAAAGCAAAAUAAAAACACUUGCAUGAGCGCACAGAGGUAGGUGUGGAAGAAAGUGAAACACUAUUUUAGGUUUUAGUUACACUCUGCUGUGGUGUGCUGCCUAGUAUUUGCAGGUUAAUGCAAAUACUAGGGGUUAUGAAUUGUUUCUAAGUUUAUUAUUAAAAAUAGCCUUGCUUCAUUUCUUCCUAAAAUGGAGACAAAUAUGUAUAGUGUCUGUGUUACCAGUAUGUGUAAGAGUAAUAUCUUAAUGCGUGUAAAAUGUUUAUAGGAACCUGUAUUUCAAAGAGCUAUUUUUGCAAGUGACACUAUCCUUUUAAGAAACUUUUUUAUUCAAACUUUUUCCUCCAUUUAUAACUAUUCUAUUAUUUCUUAAUGUUCAGAACCCUUUUCAUUAUCUAUAAGGUUAAAUUUUAGGUAAGUAAUGAGAAAAUAAUAAUAUGUGGAGAAGAAAUGAGUGAGGAGUCGAGAUGUGUGUCAAUCAAGAAUGAGUUUGUCAGCCCUUGUAUUAUGAUUUUACUCGGGAGGGGAUAAUUAUUGAAGGAUGUAAUGUAAGGGCAGUGAUACUAUAUGGUAUGUAAGACUGUUAAAAUCACUGAGGUAAGCUAUUACUUGAACUAAGCAUAGAAAUAGAGACAGAUUUUUAAUGCAUUUAAUUAUCAAAAUAUCUAAAUUAAAGAUUUGAUGUGGUUGUUCACUGGAAACAAAUGGCAGACAAACAGAAUAUUUCUUGGAAUCAUAAAUGACAUCAUCCUGUCUCCAACUUUCUGUGUAGCUUCUUUCUUUAGUUGGUCUUUGCUUAGAUUUCCCUGUGUCAGAGACGACUUCCCUGGAUAUCAGUGACAGUUAUUGAUUGCUCAUGCUAUGAACUCCUCCCAUUUCUCAGCCCUCUUGCAGUAGGUGGGGCCAUGGUACUAGUUGUGGCUUAUUGCUUAAAGACUUUAAGGCUCCAUGUGUGACUUUCCAGCUCUGGUCCACUGCUACUGCGGCUCUGGCAGGACUAGGGAGGUGCCCCGUGUCUCAGAUGGUGCAGCCUCCAUCCAGCUGUGUCCCUGAAUGACUAGAGCACAGCCACUGGUGACCUGUGGUGGACGUAGAAUGUGGGUAAGAGAUAAACUUAUGCUACACCGCUGGGGUUCAGGGGCUAAUUUGUUACCACAGCAUAGUCAACCUUUUCUAGCACCCCAUUCUGUCUAAAUUUAGUAGUCCUACCCCACUCCAUGCCUCCCCAACCCUUCCCCUGGCUUUAGUUUCUUUGUAGCACUGGUCCCCGCAUGACCUGUCGUUGCUUUACUUUCUCGCAUCACUUCUCCCUGCCUCCAGCACAUGCACUAAAAUUUAAACUCCAUGCCUGGACAAAAUCAAUGUUUGUUAAAUAAAGUCUGCCAGUUCUGUUUGCGAUUUUUCAGAAACAAGGAAAGAAAUCCUAUAUAAAGUUGAUCUGUGCUUUGGCAAUAUUCAUUUAGGGUAAUUGCCCUUUUUUCAAAUGGCUGUGCAUUUUUUAUGAUGAUGAAUAUAAAGUAUUUAGCAGAAAUAUUUUUUAUUAAAAUUGUUGAGCUUAUGGAAUCAAUGUAGCAGCCUAUGUGAAAGAAACACUGUGCUAGAGAGUUGUCUUUCUGCCACGUGUAAUCAUUACAUUUAACUCAAGUUCUCCAUGGGAGAUCCAUGCAGAGAUAUGAAAAUAGGACGGACGUCUCUUCCUUCUUAAAAGUUGCUCCAGAUUUUGGCUUCAAGUGCUUCCUGUUUUUUGCCCUCCCUUAUCCCUGGGAGUUCCCUCUAUUUACUUUCACAAGGACUCUUGGUAUAAAAGAUAUUUGUAUACCUGGGUGUGUGGGAAGGAAUUGAAGGCAAAGGUAGCAGUCAUUUCAAGCUGAACAUGUUAAGUGGUAAUCGAGCACUUGGUUUUUGUAGUACCUCCUGUGGCCAUCUCCACAGUGUCAUAUUUGAAAGAAAUCUUGUGUAAGCAUUGGUCUAAGGGUCACUGACUGUGAAUAAUGAAUGCGGUGACAGCAUGGCCAUCUUAGAGACAGGCAGGCCAGAUAUUGGUUACUUUGAUUUUAGUUGACAAAGUUUAUUUGCUUUUAAGUUUUAAAGCAAUACAGCAGUGUGAACUUCAAGUUGUAAACUUUCAUUUAGAAAGUUUAAAAUUUAGUUGAAAUAUAAAAUAUUCUGAAUCUGAAUAAAAAGUUUUAAAACUUAUUCUUCCUUUUCAGUUGUUUUAAACACAAAUGAAUCAAGAACAUGAUUAUCACCAAUCAUUACAUGUUUAUAUUUCUGUUGUAUACUGAAGGGAGUGGUGAAAUGAAUGCUGGAGGAGGAUUUUGGUUGAGAAAUUGGGAGGAGGAGGAAGUAGCAACUAAGACUGAGACGAAUGGCCAGUUAGGAAACUCAAGAAUAUGAAACACUAGAGAACAAUAAAGUGUUUCAAGAAGAACUUAUGGGCAACUGAGUCUAUUACAGUUGAUAGGUCAAGUAGGAGGAGAACUGAGAAGUAUCCAUAGGAUUUGACAGCAUUCAGGUCAUGGGGAAUGAGGAGCUAUUUUUGUGGAGUGGUAGGCACAAAAACCUGACAUGGUGGUUGUAAGAGGAAUCAAGGAGAAGGAGAAGCCAUGAUUAUUAGGGGUAUUUGAGUUCAAGACAUAUUGAGGCUGGGCAUGGUGGCUCACACCUGUAAUCCCAGCAUUUUGGGAGGCCAAGGAGGGCAGAUCACUCGAGCCCAGGAGUUGAGUCUAACCUAAGCAACGUGGCGAAAUCUGGUCUCUACAGAAAGUACAAAAAUUAGCCAGGCGUGUAAUGUAGUCCCAGCUACUUGGGAGGCUGAGGUGGGAGGAUUGUUUGAGCCCAGGAGGUCGAGCAAGCAUGCAGUGAGCCAUGAUCUUGCCACUGCACUCCAGCCUAGAAGAUAAAGUGAGACCCUGUAUUAAAAAAAAAAAAAGAGAAAAAGACAUUGAAAAGUAAAGUUAAAAAUCUGUUUGAAGUUAGAGAGCUAAAUAAGAAUAAUGAAAUAAAGCCAGUAGAAGGAAACAAAUGAGAAAAAAGCAGGCAAUGACAGAAUAGAAAAAUUUUAAAAAAUAAUAAACCUAAAUCUGUUAUUAAAAUGACUAAUAAAAACUGAGGAAAAAGAGCAGAAAUAGACAUCAUGAUGAAAAAGGGGGACAUAACUAUAGGUACAAUAAUUUUUAAAGAAUCUGAAAGAACAUGCACUGCUUUCUAUGACCUCUUGGCCCUCAGCAUCCAUUUCUACAUCAUCAUGAUGGGGGGAAAAAUCAGGUUCUAGAGUCACAAAAUAGGAACCGUGGCUCCUCAGAGGGGCAGUAGAGCAUAGUGGUUUAAAAGCAUAGACUCUAGCGACAGACCACAUGGGUUUGAAAACGCCCUGACACGUACUAAUCGUGACUUGGCUAGUGCCUCAGUUUCUCAUCUUUAAAUGAGGAUGAUGGGAGUCCUUACCGCAUUAUUUGAAUAAAUAAGUCAGUUUGCGAAGAAGCACUUAGAAUAGCUCCUAGCGUAAAGUGAACACUGUCUCGUGUGGGUAUUAUUGAGUACAAAAAUUUGUAUAUAUAUAUUUUUUGAGACAGAGUCUCGCUCUGUCACGCAGGCUGGAGUGCAGUGGCGUGGGCUCGGCUCACUGCAAGCUCUGCCUCCCGGGUUCACACCAUUUUCCUGCCUCAGCCUCCCGAGUAGCUGGGACUACAGGCGCCCGCCACCACGCCCAGCUAAUGUUUUUGUAUUUUUAGUAGAGAUGGGGUUUCACCGUGUUAGCCAGGAUGGCCUCAAUCUCCUGACCUCGUGAUCCACCCACCUUGGCCUCCCAAAGUGCUGGGAUUACAGGCAUGAGCCACCACGCCCAGCCUGUUAAAUAAUUUUUAACUCUACUGACCAUAAUUUAUUAUACUCCCCUCUUUAAAAUUCAUCCAAGAUAAAUCAGGAUCAUUAGUGGCAACUUUAUUUUUAUUCUGAGGUAUUAGUAAAUCCUUCAUUUUAUAAUUUUAAGCAUUAAGUGAGCAUUCGUAAACUUGAAAGGUUUAAGCUAGAUCUACUCCUAUCCAGAGCUAAAUGAGUAGAAAACCAAUACCCCAAGUUACCUGCUGACAGCCCAGUAACUCCCAUGUGUCCAGGGCCAGGUGUUCCUAAGUGCCUUCUGUUCUGAGUCAUCCAGAUUAGUCUAGGAAGCCUGUAAGUUGUUCUGUUGGUGCAGUUUUGCUUAAAGUACCUACAUAUUAAAGUGGCUUAUUACCUCAAAACCCUAAAAACCUAAUUUAAGUAUGUUUAAAAUACUUCAGCUGACAUGAUAAACUUUCCCCAUCUGCAGAAGGGCAUUAACUCAAUUGCUAAUAAAAGUCUUCUUAUAUAUGGUGUUUUUAAAUGAUUUUUCCAAAUUUUCAUCUCUGUUAAAUGCUAACAUUUUUCAUUUUAAAUAUUACUGGCUGAUACUUAAAGGAAAUCCAAAUACUGCCUUUGACAACCCUUAAAUAUUCAUGGCUAGAGCUUAUGAAUCAUGGUUUUCUUAAGUUAGGAAACAUGUUGCUAUUACAACAAUUUUUCAGAGUGAGAGAAUGCUAACAUAGAUUAGUUUAUUUAUGUCUAAACAACCUAACUUAGCAUUUAUUGUUUUCUGUUUGUGUGUGUGUAAUCUAUCAUUGUUAUAAGAGACAUAGCCAAAGAGGUGAAGAUCCAGCUCAGAUGCUAUGAGGGGGGUACAGCUACUCAUGUGUGCUUGAUCUGCAGAGUUUAGCAGAGCUCCUUAUUAAGCGAGCUAAAAGUACUCAGGUGCUAAACGCUGUGCCAAAUAUUUAUGUUGAAAGCAAACAAAAACAGCCCCUGACAUCCAGAACUGAUCUGACAUUCACAUUUAGACCUCAAUACAAGCUAGUCUGAUGUUCAUGGCCAGACUCUUGUGUUCUGCCAUUGGGCAUGUACAGUCUCACAGAAUAUCAAAAAAGUGCAGUCUGGAAUCAUAACAAAAUGAGACAAUAACAAGGUCACUCUGCAACACAAAAUUCUAAACAUUCCUAUCACCAAAUGAGUGCCUGCUACUGUACCAGUUAUAGCUCUAUCUUCAUGCUAGUCUGUCCUCCCUAUGGAUAAUAUUUAUUGAGAUACUCAGUUAUAGAUUCACCUAGAAAUCUAUAAUUUCUGACACCCUCCAAUCUAGAGCAAGCCCCCACUUCCUUAGAUGCUCUGCCAAUUCACCCAACCAAAGCCCAGUUUCUCUAAGAGGCUCUUUAUAACACCAUCUUAUUGAGACAUCCCUUGGUUCCCUAUGCUGUGUCUUCUCACUAAUUGCAAGGAGGAAUAAACCCAACCUGUUUAUAGGGCUGUUCCAGUGGGCUUUGGGUAAAGGGUGUUGAUGAUGUAUAUUGUCUAUUGAGUCCUCAAGGCAAUUCCAUGACUUAGUUCUGUCAAUUGAGAAAAAUGAUGAGACAAGUCUCAAUCAUUUUAGGAGAUUUAUUUGCCAACGUUAAGCACGUGCCCAGGAGACAGGUCUAUGCCCUUCUGCGAAGAUAAUUUUGAGGGCUCCGAAUUUAAAGAGGAAAGGGUAGGAAAUUGAGAAGUACACAAUUUUCAUGUAAGAGGGGGCUAGAGAAAAAUAGUUACUCAUGCCUUUGGCUCAGUGAGUCUGCAUUUUUUACAUAAGAUGACAGAAACAAAUGGGGCAGAGGAAAAAUGUAGGGAAUUUGCAUUUUACGUAAGAUAAACAGACAAAAUGGGGAAGGGGAAUAAUCAGAUAUGCAUUUAUGUCUGGUGGGCCAGGGUAACUGCCCCUGUAAAGAUAAGCUGUCAAUUACCAUUCUCAUGGUGAAAUUUUAACAGGCCAGUAGGAAUUUCCUUGUGGG